RNAcentral lists this transfer RNA (70 nucleotides) under Loxodonta africana (African savanna elephant). It matches the Rfam family "tRNA". From Rfam's summary of the family: Transfer RNA (tRNA) molecules are approximately 80 nucleotides in length. Their secondary structure includes four short double-helical elements and three loops (D, anti-codon, and T loops). Further hydrogen bonds mediate the characteristic L-shaped molecular structure. tRNAs have two regions of fundamental functional importance: the anti-codon, which is responsible for specific mRNA codon recognition, and the 3' end, to which the tRNAs corresponding amino acid is attached (by aminoacyl-tRNA synthetases). tRNAs cope with the degeneracy of the genetic code in two manners: having more than one tRNA (with a specific anti-codon) for a particular amino acid; and 'wobble' base-pairing, i.e. permitting non-standard base-pairing at the 3rd anti-codon position. Lineage: Eukaryota; Metazoa; Chordata; Mammalia; Proboscidea; Elephantidae. The record is from Rfam by way of RNAcentral.
GCAGUGGUGGUUUAGUGGUAGAAUUCUCUCCUUCCAUGUGGGAGACCUGUGUUUAGUUCCAGCCAGUGCA